GACGAACGCUGGCGGCGUGCUUAACACAUGCAAGUCGAACGGAAAGGCCCUGCUUUUGUGGGGUGCUCGAGUGGCGAACGGGUGAGUAACACGUGAGUAACCUGCCCUUGACUUUGGGAUAACUUCAGGAAACUGGGGCUAAUACCGGAUAGGAGCUCCUGCUGCAUGGUGGGGGUUGGAAAGUUUCGGCGGUUGGGGAUGGACUCGCGGCUUAUCAGCUUGUUGGUGGGGUAGUGGCUUACCAAGGCUUUGACGGGUAGCCGGCCUGAGAGGGUGACCGGCCACAUUGGGACUGAGAUACGGCCCAGACUCCUACGGGAGGAAGCAGUGGGGAAUAUUGCACAAUGGGCGGAAGCCGGAUGCAGCAACGCCGCGUGCGGGAUGACGGCCUUCGGGUUGUAAACCGCUUUCGCCUGUGACGAAGCGUGAGGGACGGUAAUGGGUAAAGAAGCACCGGCUAACUACGU
This 467-nucleotide ribosomal RNA is filed under the name uncultured bacterium. RNAcentral's name for it is "partial 16S ribosomal RNA". It matches the Rfam family "Bacterial small subunit ribosomal RNA", at positions 28 to 506 of the family's 1533-position model. The record is from RNAcentral.